This 445-nucleotide ribosomal RNA is filed under the name uncultured bacterium. RNAcentral describes it as "partial 16S ribosomal RNA". It matches the Rfam family "Bacterial small subunit ribosomal RNA", at positions 354 to 796 of the family's 1533-position model. The record is from RNAcentral.
GUGAGGAAUAUUGGACAAUGGGCGCAAGCCUGAUCCAGCCAUGCCGCGUGCAGGAAGACGCAUCUAUGGUGUGUAAACUGCUUUUGUACGGGAAGAAACACUCCCUCGUGAGGGAGCUUGACGGUACCGUAAGAAUAAGGAUCGGCUAACUCCGUGCCAGCAGCCGCGGUAAUACGGAGGAUCCAAGCGUUAUCCGGUAUCAUUGGGUUUAAAGGGUCCGUAGGCGGUUUAAUAAGUCAGUGGUGAAAGCCCAUCGCUCAACGAUGGAACGGCCAUUGAUACUGUUAGACUUGAAUUACAAGGAAGUAACUAGAAUAUGUAGUGUAGCGGUGAAAUGCUUAGAUAUUACAUGGAAUACCAAUUGCGAAGGCAGGUUACUACUUGUGGAUUGACGCUGAUGGACGAAAGCGUGGGGAGCGAACAGGAUUAGAUACCCGAGUAGUCC